GAUGAACGCUGACAGCAUGCUUAACACAUGCAAGUCAACUUGAACUUCGGUUUGGGUGGCGGCCGGGUGAGUAACGCGUAAAGAACUUGCCUCACAGCUAGGGACAACAUUUGGAAACGAAUGCUAAUACCGGUUAUUAUGAUUAUAUGGCAUCGUAUAAUUAUGACAGCUAUAUGCGCUGUGAGAGAGCUUUGCGUCCCAUUAGCUAGUUGGAGAGGUAACAGCUCACCAAGGCGAUGAUGGGUAGCCGGCCUGAGAGGGUGACCGGCCACAAGCGGACUGAGACACCACCCGUACGCCUUCGUGCGGCAUCAGUGGGGACUUUAGGCCAAUGGACCGAGUGUCUGAUCCAGCACUUCUGUGUGUACGAUGAAGUUUUUCGGAAUGUAAAGUGCUUUCAGUUGGGAAGAACAAAAUGACGUUACCAGCAGAAGAAGUGACGGCUAACUACGUG
Molecule: ribosomal RNA, 454 nt
Filed under: uncultured bacterium
Lineage: Bacteria
Description: partial 16S ribosomal RNA
Rfam family: Bacterial small subunit ribosomal RNA
Source: RNAcentral